RNAcentral lists this microRNA precursor (255 nucleotides) under Medicago truncatula (barrel medic). Its description in RNAcentral is "miR2592h stem-loop (mtr-MIR2592h)". Lineage: Eukaryota; Viridiplantae; Streptophyta; Magnoliopsida; Fabales; Fabaceae. The record is from miRBase by way of RNAcentral.
AGGUAAUUCAAACUUGCCAAACGGCCAUAACUCGAGCAUUUCGUCCAGCGUUCAUAUUUUUCCUUUGAAAAGAUUAAAUUCUUGUUAUGCUGGUUUAGAUGAAGGUAUUAAGUGUCAAGGAAUGAACCUCGUUUCGUUGGCACUUGAAUAUCAUCAUCUAAAGCAAGCCUACCAAAAAUUUAUUCUUUUCAAAGGAAAAGCAUGAAUGCGGGACGAAAUGCUUGAGUCCUGUUGUUGGCAUGUUUAAAUUUACCC